Molecule: transfer RNA, 74 nt
Filed under: Bacteroidia bacterium
Lineage: Bacteria; Pseudomonadati; Bacteroidota; Bacteroidia
Also listed under: 4 other names
Description: tRNA-Ile
Rfam family: tRNA
About the family: Transfer RNA (tRNA) molecules are approximately 80 nucleotides in length. Their secondary structure includes four short double-helical elements and three loops (D, anti-codon, and T loops). Further hydrogen bonds mediate the characteristic L-shaped molecular structure. tRNAs have two regions of fundamental functional importance: the anti-codon, which is responsible for specific mRNA codon recognition, and the 3' end, to which the tRNAs corresponding amino acid is attached (by aminoacyl-tRNA synthetases). tRNAs cope with the degeneracy of the genetic code in two manners: having more than one tRNA (with a specific anti-codon) for a particular amino acid; and 'wobble' base-pairing, i.e. permitting non-standard base-pairing at the 3rd anti-codon position.
Source: RNAcentral
GGGCCCAUAGCUCAGUUGGUUAGAGCAUCUGACUCAUAAUCAGAGGGUCACAGGUUCGAGCCCUGUUGGGCCCA